UUAAGUUCAGCGGGUAGUCUUGCUUGAUUUGAGGCCAAAGUUAGAAAUAUUUGGUGGGUGAGCGUAAACUAGUUCCAAGAAUGCUUAGCACUCGGGCUAGUCUACGCAGGCCACUUUCCGGCUUUGUUUAGACCGAGUCAGAGACACGGUCAAGUCGCAUUGCUGCAGAGAGUAUGCGGCACUCAAACAAACAUGCCUCA
This 200-nucleotide unclassified non-coding RNA is filed under the name fungal sp. RNAcentral describes it as "partial internal transcribed spacer 2". The record is from RNAcentral. Lineage: Eukaryota; Fungi.